GCUGGGCGUGGUGACUCACGCCUGUAGUCCCAGCUACUUAGGAGGCUGAGGCAGGAGAAUCGCUUGAACCCAGGAGGCGGAGGCUGCAAUGAGCCAAGAUCAUGCCACUGCACUCCAGCCUGGGCAACAGAGUGAGAACCUGUCUCGA
Molecule: small RNA, 148 nt
Filed under: Macaca fascicularis (crab-eating macaque)
Lineage: Eukaryota; Metazoa; Chordata; Mammalia; Primates; Cercopithecidae
Description: Metazoan signal recognition particle RNA (ENSMFAG00000060140.1)
Source: Rfam by way of RNAcentral